GCACACUAUAAAUAAUCAUACAAAUUUCUCUUCAAAUGCAACAAGGAAAAAUAUGUCAAAAGUUUUCAUGUUUGUUUAUGUUAUGAUUAUUUUUAUUUUCAUAGUCAUCACUGUAACGGACGGAGGAGUACUUAUAUGUCAUUCUGAUAAAGAAUGUCGUGCUUUUUAUUGUGAAGCUCCAAAAUAUCCAAGAUGUGUAGCUUUAUUGUGUAAAUGUUGGUAGUGGCAGAAACAAUUAAAAUUAAAAAUAAUAUUAUGGGACUUCUAAGAUAUUGUUAUUGUAUUUAAAAAUAUGUUAUUGGUACACUAAUGAUUUCUCUCAUACUUUUGUCUUCAAUAAAUAAAUACAAAAAGUCUUCAAUAAAUAAAGGAAA
Long non-coding RNA from Vicia villosa (hairy vetch), 374 nucleotides. RefSeq lists it as uncharacterized. The transcript is spliced from 2 exons. Lineage: Eukaryota; Viridiplantae; Streptophyta; Magnoliopsida; Fabales; Fabaceae. The record is from RefSeq and is a predicted model, not a curated record.